UCUUGGCUGGAAGGAAUCUCGACAUUCAACCCACAGGCUUGCUUUAGGAUGGCUCCCGGAGGACAGAACAACAAAACUUCCUCUUGGUUUUGGUUUUUCAGAGUGGUGGGGAGGAAGGUGGCUGAGUAUUUACAUGCCUUCCCUGCUUCUUCCUUCGUAGAACGGUGGCCACAGACUACCUUGUCAAUGUGAUUUUAACCUAAGUUACCUGCUUCUGUAUCCAUUUUUUGGGGGGGAGGGGAAACACUUUGGAGUACAAUAAUACUCCAGAAAAAAGUUUGUUUUCAUAGGAAGGAGAUAAAGGGAAGAAACUUUUUCUUUGCAUUCUUCAAACACCAAUUCUGAACUUAACUCUUCCUGAGAUAACCCCUAAAAGGCAGAAAGAGUUAACAUUUGUCACUGCUUAGAUGAGCUUGAUAAAGAGUCACUUCUAGGAACAGACAAGAUAGGCAUUUUGCAAACACUCUGAAUUCAAUGUGUUUCCUAAUGUAUUAAUUGUAGCACUAAGGCCUUCAUUCUCCUAACUUAGCCUAUUGAUAAUCUUUACAGGCUGAAAAAAUGCUAUUUCAGUAUCUUUUCUAGUAUAUAUGAAUAAUCGGCUCUUCAAAACUAUUUCUGAAAGUAUUCAAGCUAGUCCUGUAAUACAGAAUCAUAGUCCAUUAUGUUUAUAGAUAAGUAAAUCGGAACAGAAAAGAUUAUGUUACCUGUGUCAAGUUAACACAAUGAGUCAGUGGUAAAGCUGUGAGUAAUAUUCAAAGCUGCUUCUGUUUCUGAGACCUGUGGUUUAACCACUAAACAAUACACUAUACUUGAGUGCAUAAUCUAUUCUAAAGACUUACUCACUUAUUUUGUACUAUUUAUAAAUAUGGGCUCCGAACAGAUCCCUAAUAAAACACUUUCAUAGCCUCAAUAAUAAAGAAUAGCCUAUUCUUUCACCUAUAUUAUAGGAGUUUUAUAAAUAUCUAUGCCCAUUUUAACCCAUUACAGGUAAGUAUUAGGGUGAAAUACUGGUUCCAUUCUAUGCAAGUUUUUAAAAGGCCUACAGCUUAAUCUUAUACAUAAACCUUUCAUGCCCAAUUACUUUUGCCUAGUCCUUGGUUUUGCUUAUGUAACUGUUAAUUAUAUGGCCCUUUGUCUAUCAUAUAUAGAAAGAGAUCCCAGUUACCAAAGUAUUUGUCUUACAUUUUAAACCAAUUUUAAUAUUUUACUCAUUUUUCCUUGUUUUAAAAUUUCCACUGGAAAUUUACAGCAUUUAAGCAUUUCCACAAAUGCUUAAUUUUGAAUGAACAUUGACCAAAGAAUAGAAGGCAGAUAACUUUGAACUUGGUAAUUGUGCAUAGAAGACCUAACCAGUUAUAAAUACAUGGCUUUGCAAAUGAUUCCAGUCUAACUAUAUUAUUAGCAUUAUUAAGUGUUUAUCUUUUGGGGCAAAAUGAUAAACAGAUUUAGCAUUUGGGUUAGAAUAAAUUCUGGUCUAAAUUGUUUUCUAAUUAAAUCUUAAUUUUUUUGUGAAUUCUCAUGUAUUUUUGGAUUCCAUAUAUCUAAUACAUUUUGAUUACAUUUCACAAUGAUUUGCAUGAAAGAAGACAGAAAACCACCUGUACUGAUCUUAGAAAAUAUCUCAUCCUCUACAAAAUGAUUGUUUAUUGUUUAUUUAAUUUAUAUACUGCUUCUCUUACCAAAGACAACUCCUAGAGGGAUUGGGAAUCAUAUAGGACCCAAAUGUCCUCCAUAUAAAAUUUUCAGCAUUCUUAAACAAGGAUAAAAUUUGAUUGAAUGCAUAUAUGUCUCUAAAUUAGGCUUUUGGUCCAAUUGUGUAGUGGCCUAAGUUGCAAAAUUGUUGAAAGGAUAGAAUAAUGAAACAAGUAUAUAUUGGCUUUCCUGAACUUAAUAGACAUUUUUCAGUUCUAUUGAUACUUUAAAUAGUUUUCCAUGUUUCUUUUGCAUGAUGUCAUAUGGGAUAGACACGUUAAUUUCUUACAUUAGUCAAUACACUAUAUAUAAGAAAUCAAAUUUAGAUUUGGGUUGUAAAGCACACUACAGUUUUAUAUUUGUCCUGCCAUCAACAAAGGUUACCUCCUAAAAUUUGAUGACAUUUCCAGAUCAAUUUAAUAGCUAUUAGAAUGCUUCAUUAGUUCCAUGAUACAUAUAUGUCACAUGAGACUCUAACACUGUAAAAUGCAGCGAUUCUAUGUACCAUAUUACCAUGCUAUUUAAAUAAUUUUUCUGCUUUAAUAUAGUUAAUCAAAUAUAGAUUUACUAUUACACCUUUGUAAAUUUCAUAGAUUAAAGAAAUUAUCGUACAAACUGAAAAAUAAAUAUUUUGCAUUUUCAUUCCAAAAUGCUCAGAUUAGUUUUAAUACUAUGAUGAGUGUUAUAAAAGGAAUUGAUUCAAAAUAUACAUGUCCAAUGGAUUACAAUUAAAACAAAGAGUUUAGAUUGAGUCUGAAAGGAUACUGUAGCAUUUAAGCAUUGUUUUAGUCAUUUCAGUUAUGAAGUUCUGUUUUAUUGAUGAAAGCAAAAAAAUUUUGCAGAAAAUAUUGUCAUAGUAUCUUUGCCUUCUGAAAAGGAAAAUUAAUGGAUAUAAGGAUGCUAGAAGUUUCCAUCAAGCUCCCUGUUUCAGUCAUUUUUAUUUUUUUUUAAUUUCAUUUCAUUGCUUCAUAUUUUUCUUACUUAUAUUACUAUAGAUAUAUAUUGAAAAAUAAAUCCACAUGAAUUCAAAUGCAUUUACUGAUAAAUCAGUUUAGUAGCUAGUAGAAUAUUAGUAUUUUGCAGUAAGAAAUACCAUAAAAUAUUAAGUCUUUUUUUAUGUUCCAGCAUGAGAUGUUACAUUCCAGUAUCUGUUCAACCAAAAUGAUGAAGGUUUGCAUGUCCAUUUGGUAGAUAUUAAUGGGGAUCUUAACUACAGCUUAACAUAUUGUUCAUUUUCAACACUGUCACAUUGCACUCAUAUAGAGCACAUUUUAAUUUCUUGAUCAGUAAUCAAAUGGAAGUUUCUUUUGGCAAAUUAAAACGAAGGAUUUUUGUAUAGAAGAAAGGAUAUGGGAAUAUGACGCCACCUUUUGGUGAUAAAAGUAAACACUGCAGAUUUGAAUUCUUAAGAAAGACUUUUGAAACACUUUUUAUAGAAUAAGAACAAAGUACUUGUGCCUUCUGUAAUUCAUUAUAUUUUAAAUAAAUAAGAGGAAAAUUAUUAAAAAUAUUUGUAUGGCAAAAGAUAAUUUAGAUGUACUUAAAGAAUAAUCUCUAAUCUCGGUGGAUAUUGGAAGAAAUAAUUUUGCAUUCUAUUAUUACAUGUAAUAUUACAGAAGAUUAUGAAAAUGCAAUGAAAACCAAAGACUUUUCUUUUUGGAUUGAUGGAUAAGCAUCUGGAAAAAAAAUGGAACUGUGUUUCUAUAUAUGACGACUCCAGCAAGACUAAUAUAGGUACAAAGGUGGAUGAUGCAAUCAUGUUUCAAAUAGAUUUUGUAGAAGGGAAAUAAUGAGUAGAACUGGAUUAUCCAAUGAGACUGAAAAGUGGGGAACUCGGAAGAAAAAAAACAAAAGAAAAAUCUUGGCUGUGGUAAUGAUCUAUGGAAUUCACCACCAGAAAUGGGUGAUAACCAUGAACUUGAACAUUUAAAGGUAAAUUUGCAAAGAGAAGGCUGCUGGUGGCUUCUUGUAAUAUUGUAGUCUAUAUGUCUCUAAGAAGAGUCUUUGAGGAACAUGAUGAAGAUGAAAUUACUAAAUUCAUACCAAAUUCAAACUAAAUUGUUUCUAAUAUCAUGACUUUUUUAUGUUUAUAUUUUUUAAAUAUUUAUUUGCUGCAACUUGUCAACCGUGCUGUCUUUCACACAUUGCUACAAAGGUCUGUAGGUUGCUAUUGAGCUAGUAUUAAAUACUUUUAUUGUCCAACAUACUGCACUCUCCAUACAUUUACAUUUAAGCAUGUAUUCUUUUAUUUUGUCUAUGUAGUAUGUAUACCUAUGUAAUUUACUUCAACAGACAAAAUUCCUUGAAUUUUUAAUAGAAAACACUUCUUAUACUUUUCUUCAGUAGAUAAAGAUUAUUCAAAUGGGGGGGAGAUGUGGCUUACUGAGGGAGGAACUGCUGGUCAGAAAUUGUCCCCAACCCAGUGGUUCCAACCCAGCUGCAUGACAUAGAGUGAGCCUCUGUUGCUUGACCUCUAGCUCCUGCCCAACCAGCAGUUUGAAAGCAUGCAAUAUUGUGAGUAGAUAAAUGAGUACCGUUUUGGUGGGAAAAACCUAACUUGUGUUUGUGGAGAGUGGAAGCCAGCGCUGGAUCUGAGGCAUUGCAACACAACGUAAGGCAAAGAGACCAGCGGAGGAGCCUGGAAGAUCAAGCACCCAUUAGCUAAUGAACUAGCAAUCUAGGCUGCCAGGACUGCAUUGUGUCUAGCAUAUGUAGAUUUCCUUGACAUUGUAUGCUAUAUGCUAAAUAAUAAAUAAUUAAAAACAAUACU
Long non-coding RNA from Crotalus tigris (Tiger rattlesnake), 4462 nucleotides. RefSeq lists it as uncharacterized. The record is from RefSeq and is a predicted model, not a curated record. The transcript is spliced from 3 exons. NCBI's taxonomy places the organism in Eukaryota, Metazoa, Chordata, Lepidosauria, Squamata, Viperidae.